GACGAACGCUGGCGGCGUGCUUAACACAUGCAAGUCGAACGGAAAGGCCCUGCUUUUGUGGGGUGCUCGAGUGGCGAACGGGUGAGUAACACGUGAGUAACCUGCCCUUGACUUUGGGAUAACUUCAGGAAACUGGGGCUAAUACCGGAUAGGAGCUCCUUCUGCAUGGUGGGGGUUGGAAAGUUUCGGCGGUUGGGGAUGGACUCGCGGCUUAUCAGCUUGUUGGUGGGGUAGUGGCUUACCAAGGCUUUGACGGGUAGCCGGCCUGGGAGGGUGACCGGCCACAUUGGGACUGAGAUACGGCCCAGUCGCCUACGGGAGGCAGCAGUGGGGAAUAUUGCACAAUGGGCGGAAGCCUGAUGCAGCAACGCCGCGUGCGGGAUGACGGCCUUCGGGUUGUAAACCGCUUUCGCCUGUGACGAAGCGUGAGUGACGGUAAUGGGUAAAGAAGCACCGGCUAACUACGUG
RNAcentral lists this ribosomal RNA (468 nucleotides) under uncultured bacterium. RNAcentral's name for it is "partial 16S ribosomal RNA". It matches the Rfam family "Bacterial small subunit ribosomal RNA", at positions 28 to 507 of the family's 1533-position model. The record is from RNAcentral.